CCUCACGCCCCAUCAGGAACUGGUACGUUCCUUUCAGAGAGCUGCUCACAAGGCUGUCUGUGGCAAAUGCCAGAAUGCAAGGAGACAACAAACUUGGAGGCCAAGACAUGCCAGCGUAAAGGUGCAAGAGGUGCUGUGGUCUGAGCCAGACCAUCACCGGAUACAGGGGUGCUUCACAUGUCUGUCUGAUCGUCUCACAGUAAACCUGCCUCGGGUCUCUGGCCAAGGUGCGCUCUCACCCCAGCUGUGCUUCUCCGGAUGAGCCAGCCCUAAGGAGCUGUCAAUGAGUCCCAAGUCCAGCCAAGAAUCGCAGUAAAACAGCAAAAAGGGCAACACUGUCUGCUGUAGCCGAAAGCUCAAUGUGCAACAGGAGUCUGGGGCUAUAAGAUAACUAUGAAUAUAAAUCUUUCGAAAAUCUCACAAUUUGGAGGGAAAACAAGCAUAAAACUUAGAGAUUUAAGGUUAUUUGAGGUUAAGCAAUCCCAAAAAUGCAUAAAAUAUUUCAGCGCUCGGUGUAUAAAAUGUUCACUCUUUUUUGCUUCCCUCACAUAAAAUGUUAGGGAUAUUGACAUUCCUGCGUUGGUCUCACACCCCAGCCUUAAACACUAAGGGCCAACUGGACCCUGCACGAGGCAGUAAGCCCUGCCCCCCUUACAGCUCCGCUGAGUCUCAUGCCUCCUUCCCGCUGUAAAAGCCUGUAAUCAGGGUGGUUUGGACAGCCAUUCUGAAGGAAACCUGCCUUUUCAUAGCCAGGGGUUUUCAAACCUAGCAUCUCGGAGCCAUAAACUACAUACAUUCACCUCAUUUUACUAACUUAGGCUGCAAAGUUUGGACAGAAUACACAUACACGUGUCUCUGGGCCAAGGACUGCAGAGUUCUGUACGUAAAAGACUCUCUAAUCAGGGAGAUCUUAAAAUCUCUGUUCUGACUGUCUGUCAUCCUGUUGUGUGGGGGUUUUUUGUGUCCCCUUCUCUUCCUGGUGCUGGUAGCCUACAUUAGUGUGAUUGUAGCGCUGUGUAGCCCGUCGGUGCGCAGCGCCUGGUCUCUCUCCCAGCGAUCGGAGCGCCUGGUCUCUCUCCCAGCGAUCGGAGCGCUCGCCGCAACCUGCUCCACCGCUAUUUGCGGACUGGGCUUCACCACAAUGCUCCUGUCUCUGGAGCGUUCCAAUUUUUAAAAUGACCUUUAAAUGCCGUGGAAUAUUCACAGACCCCAAAUAAUCCAGAAGGACGGCACCCUGAACCACCCGCUAAAGUAAACCAAAAAUGCAUGCGCUGGUCGUAACCAUAUCGGGGUCCGCAUUUCUGACAUAGCUGCGUCGUGCCAGACGAGCACGGCCGAAACGGAAAGCAAAACGUGCAGAGCGGAGGACAAGGGAGUCCGCGGCUAACAGGAGAUUAAAUAUGUAUGAGCGCAGUCCAGCUCUGUCCCAUGUGACCUUGUGGCUGACUGUGAGUCAUUUCUGCCCCACAGAGUGUUCACGGGGGCGGAGGGGGGGGUAUGGGGGUUGCCGGUAUAGUUCUUUUACACAAUAAAAAGAGUAAGACACCAACAUGCAGUGCAAAUUCAGCGUAAAUCCUUAAUUUUGCUCUCCAUCCUUGCUACUGACAUGUGUCCGGAAAAAAGAACAAUCCAGCGCAUUCCAGGUUCAAGUGGGUGGUGGAAUUUUGCCAAAAAAACAACUUCUACUGAAACAUAGUAGGAGCCUUUUUUAUUUAAAGAGCAUGAUUUCUAUCCGCGAAGUCCACCAAUAUCUAUGAAUCCUUCUCAUAUAUCCAGAGUUUGACACAAGUCUUGACUGCAAUAUUAUUGUGCAGGAUAGAAUUUUGAAUAGCACUGAAGACUAUAUCUGUACCGUUUUCCUGCAAAUCACCUCUGCCCUUCCUGAAUUACUAAUAAGACAGAGAUUAUUGGCUUUGUGUUUUCUUAUCCAGAAUAACUCAAAUGUAGUGUCAACACUUGGGUGUUUAUCCGGUGAAGCAUUGUUUUAGGAGUUGGCAGGUUAAGGACCUGGUUCACUUGUGAACGUAUGCAGUGACUUUCUGAUGCAGGUUCAAAUCUACAACAAACACACCAACCACCAUCUCACAUGCUGUCUGAAUAAAGCUCACCCCAUUGGUAACCAGCUAGGUGCCUGAAUUAAUCCCUUAAGUGACAAAGUAACGACUUAAGUCAUUAGUAACCAGUUAACAGCUUAAGUACAGUGUGAGCAUCCGGUAUGCUUCAGUCGGCCAUGACAGCUAACAUACCCCCAAAGAACAUUUUCCAUCUUAAAAAUAUAUGUGUCACAUGAUCAUUUACAUGGGUAUGACGUUAAACAGUCCACACAUCCAUCUGAUUUGCACAGCCGCUGACCUGGUCAGGAUGGUGGAUACAAUCUGAGUGGGGGCAGCACGCUUUACCAUAAACCCAAAAAACAUUUCCCAGUAAACUGCAAUCUAUAGUAUUAAUUCUGCCCCGGUUCCUGCUUAAUCACAUCAAUUAAAAACAAUUAGCAUUUCAGCUUUACAAUUUAGCCUGAACAUUUGCACUAUUUGCGACCAUAAUCGCAAAUCUGUUCAUUUCCCCAAACGAUAACGCAACGUCUUAAAUCCAGCUUUAAUGAGUCAAAAUUAAUCUUUUGUGUUUAUCGUCAUUAAGUGCAUAAAUGUUCACACACCAUGCAACUGCCGAGAGCAACCUUCUAAUCGACCGAGAUGAAAUAAAAGUCAUCCUCGUUUUAUGAUGCUGCAUCGUAGGCAUGCGACGGGAUGCAAAAUAUUUAUGCCAUAUGGAUCACACAGGCCAAUGUGCGUCGUAAAGGAAGCCUAGCCAGAAUUUAUACAUUUGAAAUAAAGGCAAUCUAGUUAAAACUGUGAACCUUGCAGCCGCAGUAGGCUGUUAAAAGAAUAACCAAACGCCAGUGCAUUAAAUGCGCCAAUGCUGAACGUACGUCGCAUGGAGGUUGCUUUAUCAAUUUCUCUGAAAGCCCAUUUAGUAAUGGCCGGACUAAUAAGCUCUGACCCCAUUACCUCCCCGUCUCUCACCCAUCCCUCUCCACACUAGUGGCAUAUGGCCAGGCAGUUUCGAGGUGGGGAACAGCUGAAACAGGGUGGUGGUGAUGAUAGUGAAUGGAUAGGGUUGGGGGGGGUCUUACUUCCCUCUUUGCUUUUCACUUCCUUGUCAGAUCAUGACUCAAUAAUCUCCGCAAAUCAUCUCCCACUCUUACCACUAGCCCUGGCGUGCCGCGGUGUCCAAUUAGCCAUCUGCCGUGCUCCCGGGGCCCCCGCACAGACGGAGAGCACACUCCCGCCCACCGGCGGGGGAGUGGGAGGGCUGUGGGCACUACCAUUGUUUGGCAGGAGGGGUGUGUGUGUGUGUGUGUGUGUGGAGGGGGGAGCUUUGGUUUGGGGGAGCCCCCAUUGUUUCACUUUGGCAUCCACGGCGCAUGGAGUAGCCUCUGUGUUAUCUCCCUGCCAGA
Non-coding RNA from Paramormyrops kingsleyae, 3457 nucleotides. The record is from RefSeq and is a predicted model, not a curated record. NCBI's taxonomy places the organism in Eukaryota, Metazoa, Chordata, Actinopteri, Osteoglossiformes, Mormyridae.